AACGAACGCUGGCGGCGUGGAUAACACAUGCAAGUCGAACGGGGUUGUUUGUGUAGCAAUACAUCGACAAUCUAGUGGCGAACGGGUGCGUAACACGUGAGCAAUCUGCCGGGAAGUGGGGAUAGCUCGCCGAAAGGCGAAUUAAUACCGCAUGUGGCCAGAGGGGACAUCCCUUCGACGCCAAAGUCGCAAGACGCUUCCUGAUGAGCUCGCGGCCUAUCAGCUUGUUGGUGAGGUAACGGCUCACCAAGGCUAUGACGGUAGCUGGUCUGAGAGGACGACCAGCCACACUGGAACUGAGACACGGUCCAGACACCUAACGGGUGGCAGCAGUCGAGAAUUUUUCACAAUGGGGGAAACCCUGAUGGAGCGACGCCGCGUGGAGGAUGAAGGUCUUCGGAUUGUAAACUCCUGUCAUGCGAGAACAAGAAAGUGAUAGUAUCGCAAGAGGAAGAGACGGCU
Molecule: ribosomal RNA, 462 nt
Filed under: uncultured bacterium
Lineage: Bacteria
Description: bacterial SSU rRNA
Rfam family: Bacterial small subunit ribosomal RNA
Source: RNAcentral